UGGGGAAUAUUGCACAAUGGGCGCAAGCCUGAUGCAGCAACGCCGCGUGAACGAUGAAGGUCUUCGGAUCGUAAAGUUCUGUUGCAGGGGAAGAUAAUGACGGUACCCUGUGAGGAAGCCCCGGCUAACUACGUGCCAGCAGCCGCGGUAAUACGUAGGGGGCUAGCGUUAUCCGGAUUUACUGGGCGUAAAGAGCUUGUAGGCGGUUCGUCGCGUCUGGUGUGAAAGCCCAUCGCUUAACGGUGGGUUUGCGCCGGGUACGGGCGGGGUAGAGUGCAGUAGGGGAGACUGGAAUUCCCGGUGUAACGGUGGAAUGUGUAGAUAUCGGGAAGAACAACAAUGGCGAAGGCAGGUCUCUGGGCUGUUACUGACGCUGAGAAGCGAAAGCGUGGGGAGCGAACAGG
RNAcentral lists this ribosomal RNA (404 nucleotides) under Verrucomicrobiota bacterium. RNAcentral's name for it is "Verrucomicrobia bacterium partial 16S ribosomal RNA". It matches the Rfam family "Bacterial small subunit ribosomal RNA", at positions 355 to 776 of the family's 1533-position model. Lineage: Bacteria; Pseudomonadati; Verrucomicrobiota. The record is from RNAcentral.